GUCUGUGUAUAAUACUCCUCAGUGAAUGAUGAAUGUGAAUAUGUUUCUGCCUGUGGAUCACUUUUAAAAUAUUUGCCCUAGCUUCAUUAGUGGGGUAAUUAACACCAGUCACCAAAUGCAUUGCCUCGUGAACGGGGAACCCCUAAGAAACUUCAGGGUGGCUGCCCAAGUCUAGCUAACAGAAUACAGCUCUGCAGGGGCUCUAGUAAGACAGGACAUUUCUGUGCAUAGCCCAGCGAGUCUCAGAUGUUUUGCAAACUAAACACUUGUUCAAAUAAAAAAGGAAUAGUGGGAACUGGAGCCUGUUCUGUGGGGGACCUGCCAGUCUUCCUCGGGGUUUUGCAACCUCCCUGAUGCAUCCUGUGCUCUUUUCACUGUCGUCUCGUCCAUAGAGUGUGUUUGUGCGUGAAAACAGGGGACGAGUUCUGUACUGAGUCACGCUGCAAUCUGCUAGAAACAGUGAUCUUUGGAGUUUACAACUGUUACCUGUGUCAAAGAAACAGAGACUAAAAAUGAGUGUAAGAGCAGAGAAUACCUGCAGCCAUCACAGGGUGCGAGGACAUGAAAAAGACCCAACAGCAGCAAAUAAGAAGAUGUGAGCUAUGCUAUGCUCACAGUGGAAUCAUUAGGAAUUUUACCAUGAGAACAGAACGGAGUUGUUCUUUCAGCAUUUCAGUACCCAUCACCAUAUUAUCUAGGCGCCACCAUAAGAUUAAGAAGCUCUGUAGUGACAUUCUCAACAUGAUCUGCUCAGAGGUCAUUAGCAGCGCCUUUCAUACUGGCAAGGAUCGGAGGAGAGCAAGGAAGUGCGCAGCAGCAGGAGAGAAAAAGGAAAAGAGGCGAAAAGUUAUUUCGUCAGCUUUUGCUGUUGC
RNAcentral lists this long non-coding RNA (872 nucleotides) under Anas platyrhynchos (mallard). RNAcentral's name for it is "lncRNA (ENSAPLG00020016021.1)". The record is from RNAcentral. Lineage: Eukaryota; Metazoa; Chordata; Aves; Anseriformes; Anatidae.